This 428-nucleotide ribosomal RNA is filed under the name uncultured bacterium. RNAcentral's name for it is "partial 16S ribosomal RNA". It matches the Rfam family "Bacterial small subunit ribosomal RNA", at positions 354 to 796 of the family's 1533-position model. The record is from RNAcentral.
GUGGGGAAUAUUGCACAAUGGGCGAAAGCCUGAUGCAGCAACGCCGCGUGAAGGAAGAAGGGUUUCGGCUCGUAAACUUCUAUCAACAGGGACGAAAAAAAUGACGGUACCUGAAUAAGAAGCCCCGGCUAACUACGUGCCAGCAGCCGCGGUAAUACGUAGGGGGCAAGCGUUAUCCGGAAUUACUGGGUGUAAAGGGAGAGUAGGCGGCAUGGUAAGUUAGAUGUGAAAGCCCGAGGCUUAACCUCGGGAUUGCAUUUAAAACUAUCAAGCUAGAGUACAGGAGAGGUAAGUGGAAUUCCUAGUGUAGCGGUGAAAUGCGUAGAUAUUAGGAAGAACACCAGUGGCGAAGGCGACUUACUGGACUGAAACUGACGCUGAGGCUCGAAAGCGUGGGGAGCGAACAGGAUUAGAAACCCUGGUAGUCC